AACGAACGCUGGCGGCAUGCCUAACACAUGCAAGUCGAACGAAGCCUUCGGGCUUAGUGGCGCACGGGUGCGUAACGCGUGGGAAUCUGCCCUUGGGUUCGGAAUAACAGUUAGAAAUGACUGCUAAUACCGGAUGAUGUCUUCGGACCAAAGAUUUAUCGCCCAAGGAUGAGCCCGCGUAGGAUUAGGUAGUUGGUGGGGUAAUGGCCCACCAAGCCGACGAUCCUUAGCUGGUCUGAGAGGAUGAUCAGCCACACUGGGACUGAGACACGGCCCAGACUCCUACGGGUGGCAGCAACAGGGAAUCGUGCGCAAUGGACGAAAGUCUGACGCCGCAAUGCCGCGUGGAGGAUUAAGGCCUUAGGGUCGUAAACUCCUUUUGCCAUGGGGGAGAUACCAUGGAGAAUAAGUGACUGCUAACUCUGUGCCAGCCGCCGCUGUAA
RNAcentral lists this ribosomal RNA (443 nucleotides) under uncultured bacterium. Its description in RNAcentral is "partial 16S ribosomal RNA". It matches the Rfam family "Bacterial small subunit ribosomal RNA", at positions 29 to 523 of the family's 1533-position model. The record is from RNAcentral.